CAUGUUUAAUUUCUGCUAUCUGUUUAUGAAAUUUUCUAUUACUAAUUGUUUACUGAUCUCUCGAAUGGCAUUCGUCUGUAUCAUUUAGAUUGAUCUCGCUUUAGUCUCGUAUCAAUCAAUCACGCCUCCUGAGCAGAGUAUAGGCAACUAUACUGUCUGUCCCGGGAAUAAUAAGUCCCUAGCCGGACGUGAUUUGUUGUUGAUGAACAGAAGAGAGCUUGAUUAUUAGGAUUGAUUUUCUUUUUA
This 246-nucleotide long non-coding RNA is filed under the name Elaeis guineensis (African oil palm). Its description in RNAcentral is "long non-coding RNA (EGUI_LNC029092)". The record is from RNAcentral. Lineage: Eukaryota; Viridiplantae; Streptophyta; Magnoliopsida; Arecales; Arecaceae.